Drosophila biarmipes is the source of this 4775-nucleotide RNA transcript. It is a transcript of the gene named potassium voltage-gated channel protein Shaw, with no coding region annotated. The record is from RefSeq and is a predicted model, not a curated record. The transcript is spliced from 9 exons. Lineage: Eukaryota; Metazoa; Arthropoda; Insecta; Diptera; Drosophilidae.
UCGAACGGUGCGGAACGAAAGCGCGCGCGAAGAGCACGGACGGCCAACUCCCCGGAAAGAAAGAAAAACAGAGGAGGGAGGCGCACACCCCCAGAAGAAAAGUGUAGUUUAGUAGUGCAUUAGUCCACAGUUUAGUUCUCCCCUUGGUUCCUCGACUUUCCACAAGCCCAAAACAUUGGUUUUCCUGCGUUCCCCGAGUUUUCCUGCGAGCAGAGGCCCAGAGAUCCCAGCAAGUCGGAACUAUGUUUACGGGCAGAGCGCAACGAGGCCGCAGGAUGAGAGAAUAGUUUUCUUUCAGCGCCAUGUUGUCCAAUCCAGCCCCAAUGUAUGGUCGUCCGAGGUCUUGAGACCUGAUCCCCUGUGGGUGCCGAAGAGUGGAUCGCAGGAAGUGACUGGAAAGAGUGGUGCCUGCGUCGAGGGGCACGACUAACUGCAAAAAUCGUGGGCAAGGACAACGAAAAGCAUUCAGGUUGGAGUGUAAAAAAUAAAAUAAUGAAGUCCCAAGUAAAAAACACCCAAACACAUUUCUUAAACCCACACAAAACACUUACAAAGAGCGGAAAGUAAAAAAGUGCUUGAGUGUUGAAGCAGAAAAAUAAACCAACUUAUAAUUUGGAGUUCAUACAUUAAACACCUUAUUUAGUUAAUUGUAUUUCUGUGACACUAAGACACGAAAAACCAUUGAGCAUUUUGUUUGUUAAUAAUUGACUUUUGAGUUCUUGAUUGAGACAAUGACUUAUAUACCUAAAAAAAUGCAACACUAUGCGCAUGCAGCCAUGAAUCUGAUCAAUAUGGACUCGGAGAACCGGGUGGUGCUAAAUGUGGGUGGCAUUAGGCACGAAACCUACAAGGCCACUCUGAAAAAGAUUCCGGCAACGCGAUUAUCGCGACUGACAGAGGCCCUGGCCAACUAUGAUCCGAUACUGAAUGAGUACUUCUUUGAUCGGCAUCCGGGAGUCUUCGCACAAGUGCUCAACUAUUACAGAACCGGUAAGCUGCAUUAUCCCACGGAUGUGUGCGGACCGUUGUUCGAGGAGGAAUUGGAGUUUUGGGGCCUAGACUCGAACCAAGUGGAGCCCUGCUGUUGGAUGACCUAUACACAGCAUCGCGACACCCAGGAAACCCUUGCCGUAUUGGAUCGACUCGAUCUGGAUACGGAAAAACCGUCCGAAGAGGAAUUGGCGCGCAAAUUCGGCUUCGAAGAGGAUUACUACAAAGGCACCAUAUCCUGGUGGCAGGAGAUGAAGCCGCGCAUUUGGUCCUUGUUCGAUGAGCCCUACAGUUCCAAUGCCGCCAAGACCAUUGGCGUGGUUUCGGUGUUCUUCAUCUGCAUUUCGAUCCUUUCGUUCUGCUUGAAGACCCAUCCUGAUAUGCGGGUGCCCAUCGUCCGGAAUAUUACAGUGAAAACAGCGAAUGGAAGUAAUGGCUGGUAUCUGGACAAAACCCAGACCAAUGCGCACAUAGCCUUCUUCUAUAUCGAAUGCGUCUGCAAUGCCUGGUUCACCUUUGAAAUAUUGGUGCGCUUUAUAUCAUCGCCGAACAAGUGGGAAUUCAUUAAGUCAUCUGUUAACAUCAUAGAUUACAUAGCGACGCUUAGUUUUUAUAUCGAUCUAGUGCUUCAGCGGUUCGCAUCGCACCUGGAGAACGCUGACAUCCUCGAGUUCUUCUCGAUCAUCCGCAUCAUGCGUCUGUUUAAGCUGACGCGCCACUCGUCCGGCCUGAAGAUCCUCAUCCAGACGUUCCGGGCCUCGGCCAAGGAGCUGACCCUGCUGGUGUUCUUCCUCGUCCUGGGCAUCGUGAUUUUCGCCAGCCUCGUCUACUACGCGGAGCGCAUCCAGCCGAAUCCGCACAACGACUUCAACAGCAUCCCGUUGGGUCUGUGGUGGGCCCUGGUCACCAUGACCACCGUGGGCUACGGAGACAUGGCCCCCAAAACCUACAUCGGUAUGUUCGUGGGCGCCCUGUGCGCCUUAGCCGGCGUACUAACCAUUGCACUGCCAGUGCCCGUCAUCGUCAGCAACUUCGCCAUGUACUACUCGCACACGCAGGCCAGGGCCAAACUGCCAAAGAAGCGAAGACGAGUGCUUCCCGUCGAACAGCCGAGACAGCCCAGACUGCCAGGUGCCCCUGGCGGAGUCAGUGGCUGUGGGACACCGGGAUCGGGUCCCCAUUCCGGUCCCAUGGGAUCCGGUGGAACUGGACCACGUCGCAUGAACAAUAAAACGAAGGACCUGGUCAGCCCCAAGUCAGGUGAGUCCUUGUGUGUCCUUAAACGAAUAACACCACACCGAUUCCCACAAACCAGCAAAAUGCAAGCCUCAAGCUAAAGCCACAUAAAAAAGACAAGUAAUAUCGAGCUGCGCUUUAAAAAGGCACCGCCAAAACCCAAAAUAUACCACUAAAAGUACAAGAAACGAGUAAGCCAACCAACUUCUUAACCUGUACCUAAAGGCUCGCACAGCUGCACCCUCAGUUCAAAAGUAAUUGAGUUCAAUGGAUUAACUUGCAAUACACAACCCAGUAAUAAAUACUCGUUAUCCCUUGUGCCGUCUCGCAGUUUCUCCUGGCAAAUUAAUAUUAAUAGUCAUUGAGAAGUGCCUAGUAAAUGAUGCCAAGAAAUACGAUUCUUUGACCCAAAACGACUCCAUAUCUUGGGUGCGCUUUCCCUUUUCGGCUAUACUAUACCCAUUAUAUAACAUAUCAUUCGUCGUGUACGUGUAUAUAUGUACUCUAUGUAAUUACCAUGCAUUUAAGGCUUCUUUAUUCAUAUUCCUAUUUAUUCAUUCAAGCUUGGCUUUCAUUUCACGCAAAUCAUUCAAAUGGAUUUAUAAUGGAGCAUUAUCGAGUUGAAUUGGGAAAUCGAUAAGAAUGUUAAGGGAAUAAAUCCACGUAAUUCUUAAUAAUACUCAUAUUUACGAAAAACUUAAAUAAUAUUGCUUUUUAGCAAACUCCCUUUGCAAUCUUAUAGAUCUCCACGAAUUUCCCAAACUCAACAUAAAGCCAGAUUUUCAAGUCAUUUCCACACCAUAAAAUACAUUUGACGACCUUUACUUUCUCUCCAUUCAUCGAAGGCAUACUUGUAUAUUCAAAGUCAUCGCCCUCCAAUCAGUUUAGGGUGUACUUUUCCCAUUGAGUCAGCAAAAUACAAGAAUAUGUAUCGUACCAAUAUAUAAAUAUAUUUAUACCCUUUCUUCAAUACAUUAUACCCAGAUACAUGACCCUUUAUUAUAUAUAUCUAUUUCAAUCCUCGAUUUUUUGACAUCUUUGCUCCAAAUACUUUUGUUUACUUUAGUAUUAUUUAAUUUUAUUGAUAAACGAUACAAUCCAAACCCCAAAAAUCUUGUGUAAAUAGAUGAAUAUACAACAAUGAUUGGCAAACCGCGCGAUGGCAAAAAGAGCAGGCUGCUCUAAGCCAAAGAACACAACAACAGCAACAACCACAUGAACCACGAAACAACAACAACCACAACCAGCCGAAGAACAAAUAAUCCCCCAUACCAUUACUUCCAAGCUAGAACUUGCAAUGAGAGAUGAUGAUGAAGAUCUUUUCUAUAUAAGAAUUUGGCAAACUGAUCUAUGAGUAAACGAAGGAAAAUUAGAGAAAUCGAAAAAUGCAUCCCCGAGGACUGGACUUAAGAUCGAAACACGGAUAGAGAUCGUGAUAUGGCCUUCAGUUUCGACUAAGACAGAAAACAGAAAAGAACCAGAAAGAUAUUUUGUAAUUUGUUAAGCCCGCUCAAGACACAAAACAAGAAAAAACUCAGCAACAAAAUCGAAAUCGAAACGAAAUCAAAACGAAACCUCAGUUAAAUACAAACCGUAAAGAACUAACAAAUCCCCGGUUCGUUCAUCUAUCAUCUAACUACUUAUCAGCUAACCAAAACUCGGACUCUGCUGGGCGGGUGUGUGUUGGUUAAGAAACCUUUAUUAUCUACCCCUAACAACCUCCAACUUUCUCGCUCUCUUCCAACCCGAAAAAACUCCCAACUAAAAGUGUCAAAUAGUUGAAAAAGUUUGAAACUAGUUCGUAGCAAGCAGAAACUCUAGAGUUUAGAGCCACCUUCACGAAUCCGAUUUCCCAGCAUUUGAUUCUACAAAGUUCGCCCCCGUCCCCUCUUUGCCCGAGUCCAAAAUAUCCACCCGAGCGGAAAUCUUGCCGAACGUAGUUUGCAGAUACUGUAUCUAGCCUUAUAUGUGUGUGUUUAUUUGCCGAGCAUGCUGCAUGUGACCCGAAUUUUGACCCGAGUCUUGGCGUGUGAUUAGUGUUUCCAUAGUUGUGUGUGAUGUUUGUAAUCGUGCUCGUGUUACAACACCCUCCCCCCAGAAAACCACCCCACCUCCCCUCGUAUAUCGUAGUAACCAAGUGCACCCAGUAAUUACCAUCAGCAAUUUAAAAAAAGUUGCCUCCCACCUGUCAUAAUUAAAUUCAAAGUUUACCGAAUUCGGAAUCUCCAGCUUGACUAACCGACUUAAUGAAAAUAAUAUAUUUACUUCUCUCUCUCUUUUCUUUCUCUGUUUUUCUCUUACUCUUCCUGGACUUCCCACUACUAUAUCUAUCUAUUGUUUCCGGCUAAAUAACUCCACCUACUCCACCUACUUCCUAUCCGAAACCGAAACCGAAACUGAUAAUCCUUUCUGUGGCGGGGUUAAAACAAACAGUUGCUCAACUUUUCGCAGGUCCGCUGGGCGCAAGUAUUGUGGCCAUGAGUCCCAGGACAAUGCUGGACCUGAAUCCCGCCCUGGCGAUGGGCAAGCCGUCGUUUCAGCCCCGUAUA